This 370-nucleotide ribosomal RNA is filed under the name uncultured organism. RNAcentral's name for it is "partial 16S ribosomal RNA". It matches the Rfam family "Bacterial small subunit ribosomal RNA", at positions 527 to 896 of the family's 1533-position model. The record is from RNAcentral.
GUAGGUGGCAAGCGUUGUCCGGAAUUAUUGGGCGUAAAGCGCGCGCAGGCGGUUCUUUAAGUCUGAUGUGAAAGCCCACGGCUCAACCGUGGAGGGUCAUUGGAAACUGGAGAACUUGAGUACAGAAGAGGAAAGCGGAAUUCCACGUGUAGCGGUGAAAUGCGUAGAGAUGUGGAGGAACACCAGUGGCGAAGGCGGCUUUCUGGUCUGUAACUGACGCUGAGGCGCGAAAGCGUGGGGAGCAAACAGGAUUAGAUACCCUGGUAGUCCACGCCGUAAACGAUGAGUGCUAAGUGUAGGGGGUUUCCGCCCCCCUUAGUGCUGCAGCUAACGCAUUAAGCACUCCGCCUGGGAUACGGCCGCAAGGCUG